GACGAACGCUGGCGGCGUGCUUAACACAUGCAAGUCGAACGGAAAGGCCUCUUUCGGGGGGUACUCGCGUGGGGAACGGGUGAGUGACACGCGAGUAACCUGCCCUCGUCUUUGGGAUAACUUCAGGAAACAGGGGGUAAUACAGGAUAGGAGCUCUUGCUGCACGGUGGGGGUUGGAGAGAUUCGGGGGUUGGGGGUGGACUCGCGGGGUAUCAGCUUGUUGGUGGGGUGGUGGCUUACCAAGGGUUUGACGGGGAGCCGGACCGUGGGAGUGACCGGCCACACUGGGUCCUAGAGACGGCACAAGCUCCUAAGGGAGGGAGCAGGGGGGAAGAUUGCCCAAUGGGUGGAAGCCUGAUGCAGCAACGCCGUGGGCCGGAAGACGGUCUUCGGGUUGUAAACCGCAUUCGCUCAUGACGAAGCUUUGUGUGACGGUAGUGGGUAAAGAAGCACCGGCUAACUACGUG
RNAcentral lists this ribosomal RNA (467 nucleotides) under uncultured bacterium. Its description in RNAcentral is "partial 16S ribosomal RNA". It matches the Rfam family "Bacterial small subunit ribosomal RNA", at positions 28 to 507 of the family's 1533-position model. The record is from RNAcentral.